AGAAGCUGCAAUUUUACAACCUCACAACAAGCGUCCCCUAGCAAAGCUGCACCGCCAUUUCCUGUGCUUGGGAACUGGAGGCAAGGUUUUAAAACAGUGCUGUGGUGAACAGCUUUCCUGAUGCGUCCUUAGAGCAGCUCUGAGCGUUUCCUGCGGGCAAAUCCCUAGAAGAGGCCGGCGGACCAAAGACUAUGCUGCGUUUUGCCAAAAUGCCCUCCAGAAACACGGGACCAGCCUGCCGUCCACUCACUGGUGAGCGGGCAUGCCCGCUUGCCUGUCCUUUUGCCAGCCCUGAGAUGCUGUCAUUGCAUUAUGUCUUUGGCAGUCUGAUAGGCGAAACAGCCCUUUUCAUCACUGGAAUCCUAAUUUCUUUGACUGCUGGUGAUGUUGAACAUCUUUUCAUUUUAUUAUUGGCCAUUUGGAAAAUUGCCUGUCUAUGUUCUUUGCCCAUUUUUUGUUUUUCUGUUGGGCUGUGUGUCUUUUUCUUAGGGAUUCCAAGAGCUUGUUACUGUAAGGAAUUUAGCCCUUCUCUGUUCCAUAUGCUACUCUGUACAAGAGUGUAAAUGCAAUGUGUGGACGGGCGCGGUGGCUCACGCCUGUAAUCCCAGCACUUUGGGAGGCCAAGGUGGGCAGAUCACCUGAAGUCAGGAGUUUGAGACCAGCCUGGCUAACAUGAUGAAACCUCGUCUCUACUAAAAAUACAAAAAUUAACUGGGUGUGGUGGCGGGUGCCUGUAAUCCCAGAUACUCAGGAGGCUGAGGCAGGAGAAUUGCUUGAACCCAGGAGGUGGAGGUUUCAGUGAGCCGACAUCGUGCCACUACAGUCCAGCCUGGGCGACAGAGCGAGACUCUGUCUCAAAAAACAACAACAACAACAAACUGUUUUGUACAACAGUACAAUAACACAGAGUAUUAUACAGUAGUACAGUAUACUCUUGUACAUUGCAUUUAGUUUUCUGUCAUUUUUCUUUUGACUUUGGAUUUUGUUUUUUUUUAACUUUUUUUGUUUUUUGAGACAGGGCUUACUCUGUGUAUACUCAGGCUGGAGUGUACUGGCGUGAUCACAGCUCACUGCAGCCUCAACCUCCCCAGGCUCAGGUGAUCCUCCCACCUCAGCCUCCCCAGUAGCUGGGACUACAGGUGCACGCCACCACGCCUGGCUAGUUUUUUUUGUUUUUGUUUUUGUAGAGAUAGGGUUUUGCCACGUUCCCCAGGCUGGCCUUGAACUCCUGGGCUUGAGUGAUCCACCCUCCUUGGCUUCCCAAAGUGCUGGGAUUACAGAUGUGGGCUACUGUGUCUGGCCUUUUUAUUUUUUUACUACGUAGAGGUUUAAAGUUCUUCUGUAGCUAAAUCUAUCAAGUUUUCUUUUGUGGUUUCUGGCUUUGGGGUAAGGCCUGGGAUAGCUUUUACCACUCUAAGAUUUCGUAAUCAUUCACCAAUUUAAUCCCUGCAUUCCAAAGUAAGAGAGCAGCGUAGGGCAUGGAGGAGUGUGACCUAGGGCUUUCGGGAGAUUCCUGGGCCAGAGUGUAUGGCACGUAAUAAACAGUUUCUCAAAACAGC
Molecule: long non-coding RNA, 1559 nt
Filed under: Macaca fascicularis (crab-eating macaque)
Lineage: Eukaryota; Metazoa; Chordata; Mammalia; Primates; Cercopithecidae
Description: lncRNA (ENSMFAG00000051048.1)
Source: RNAcentral